RNAcentral lists this long non-coding RNA (30226 nucleotides) under Ananas comosus (pineapple). Its description in RNAcentral is "long non-coding RNA (ACOM_LNC010752)". The record is from RNAcentral. Lineage: Eukaryota; Viridiplantae; Streptophyta; Magnoliopsida; Poales; Bromeliaceae.
UAGAAUUAAGUUAGAAUACUUUUAGAAGUAUCAUUCCCUUGGUGCUUUUGAGUUUCUAGCCCUUGGAUCUACUCCUUGAUUACUAAUAACCUUUGGAUCAAAUACUAUUCCACCUAUCACCACCUACCACCAUCAUCUCAACCCUACAUCUGUCCAUCCAAUGGCUAAAAAUCCAAAAACACCAACCCCUUAGUGCUUUUGAGAGUAUUUUUUCAUCCAAGAGCGAAAAACUUGGUAGCACCAAGUGCUUGGUGCUAUUAAUAGCAUUCCAGCCUAGUUCUAUAUAUGAGUUCGGCUGAGAUACUAUCGAUAGCACCAACCACUUGGUGCUACUAAGUUUUUUGCCGUUGGACUUAACCCUGUGACUAUUUUCACCCGUUAGAUUAUACUAUUCAAUCAACAACUCAAUCAACACUAGGGGGCCCACAUCAUCCUAACCAUAUAUUUUUUCAUCCAAGAGCGAGAAACUUGAUAGCACCAAGUGCUUGAUGCUGUUAAUAACAUUCCAGCCUAAUUCUAUAUAUAUAUAUAUAUAUAUAUAUAUAUAUAUAUAUAGUGCACACAGUCGCAUCUNAGCUCAAUUCUAUAUAUAUAUAUAUAUAUAUAUAUAUAUAUAUAUAUAGUGCACACAGACGCACCUAAAUUUAGGUUUGAUUCAAGUUUGGGAUGGAUACACUCUCUAGAUUAUUGCUAAAAGAGUAUACAUAAACUAAUAAAAAUACCCUAUGUUAUAUUUAUAAAUCGGCCGUCUAUAAAAAUAAUAUUCUUAAAAACCUUUUAGAUAUACACCAUUACGAUUGGUUUUUUUUUUUUGAAAAUGAUUAAGUAGUACUUACACAACAAGACAGCAGCAAUGAUCUUGAUAAAUAAAGUUAAUUUCCUAUAGAUCCCUACAAAUAUAGUGAAUUACAAAUAUAUUUCUACAAAGCUCAACUCUCAUAUGUUGUCUCUACACAAGUUCUAAUAUUUUCAAGUAUGUCCUGACAUUAUGAUCCGUUAGAAAAAAUUAGUUAACCGUAAGUAAAAUAUUUAAAUCUAGUUAGUUAAUAAGAUGAAUUGACCUUUUUAUCUCUCUUUAAUUAAUAAUUGAGACUUUUGGAGGGAUAUAUUUGUGAUGCCACACUUAUAAAAUAAAAAGUGUUUUAAGAGUAACAAAUUAAAAGAAUAUAUUUAAAAAUAUUAGAACUUUUAAAGAAACAAUAUAUGAAAGUUUAACUUUAUAGAAAUAUAUUUACAAUUCGUUAUAUUUCCAGCAAUAUAUAUAAAAUUAAUCCUUAUAAAUAUUUUAUAUAUAUAUAUAUAUAUAUGUUAUCACAGUUCAAUCCAACGUGGCUGCACCAUCUGUAUUUGGCGGUAGGAAGAGUUGGGUGGGGCCCACUUUUUUUUUUAUUUUUCCGACCCAAAUCAUUUUUGUUUCUCAUUUUCCAUUAAUCUCUCUCACAUAUAUUUUGGCGGAGAGAACAAAAAUUAUCUGAAAAGGAUUUUUCAAAUUAUUCGUUUAAGAUUAUGAGACCUAUCGCCACGUAGUUAUUAUUAUAUAGAUUUUAGAUAUAGAUUUUAGGGAAAACUUCAAAUACCCUCCGUGUGGUUUCGCACUUUCUCACUUUAGUAUCCUGUGGUUUAAAGUUUAUCAAGUUAGUACCCUGUGGUUUCGCACUUUUUCACUUUAGUACCCUAUGGUUUCAAGUGUAUCAAGUUAAUACCCUAUGGUUUUAUUUUUGUAUCAAGUUAGUACUGUGGUUUUAAUUUUCUUUUUUAUUAUUCAUUUCGGACUAUAUAAUUUAACAAAAUAUUAAACUACAGGAUACUAAAGUGAGAAAGUGCGAAACCAUAAGAUACUAACUUGAUACACUUGAAACCAUAGGGUACUAAAGUGAAAAAGUGUGAAACCAUAGGGUACUAACUUGAUACACUUUAAACCACAGGAUAUUAAAAUGAGAAAGUGCGAAACCACAAGGGGCGUAUUUAGAGUUUUCUCUAGAUUUUAUAUCUCAAAACAAUUUGGUAAGAUAAUUGAAAUCUCCCUUCCUUUUUUCAACUAUUAGCAGGUACAAUUUUUUUUUAUAUCUAUUAACUAAAAAAAAUCAUAAUAUCUACAAUAAAAAUUACAAUAAGAAUUUCAAUUUCUUUGGUGAAUUCCUAUUAUAAUCAUUUUAGCAAAUAAACUGUAAUAUUUAAUAACAAAAACUUUUAAAAAAUUGCUAAAUCUAAGGAUGAAAAUUUUUAUACAUUUUUAUCUUUUUAAUUUAUAUAUUCAAUAAUUGUUACUCCUAAUCUUGAUUAUAAAAUACCCAUAAUGCCAAUACACUGUUUCAACCACAAAUCCCUGCAAUUUACACGCAUCGAAAUUAAAUCGUUUUUUGAAUAAGAAAUUGAACCCUUUUUUUUUUGAAUAAAUAAAUAGAAUCAGAUCCAAUCCAUUAAUUGGCCCAUUUGAGGCGUAUCCAGUACACAUGCGGUGGAUCCCCAUACGACAAAAAAGUAGCCGUUACUCUUUUUUCUUUUUUAAAAAAAUUUGAAAAUUAGUUCAUGGGAGCGUUGCUACAAUCUCUCUCUCUAUAUAUAAAAAAAAAACGUAAUCUCUCUCAUACGAAGAGACGAGCACAAGCCAAAAAGGCGAAAUUUGAAGCUCUUCUCACAGCUUUUUGCAGAGUAAAAAAAAAAAAAAAAAAAAAAAAAAAAAAAAAGUUGAUUGUUUUCAUGAGACCCCUCUCUUCUCCUCUGGUACUGUCUCUCUCUCUCUGUUUUAUGAUCUUAUUAUGGUGUUGGUAUAAAUAUAAAAGCUUUAUUUAUUCUGUAGGAAAUUUUAGAUACUAAGGAAGAUGGAGAUGAGGAGAGUGAUGUCAAUUGUGGCAUGGGCAUUGAAGAAAAUGAAAAUGAAGUUUUAGAAGAAGAAGAAAUCGUGUUCGCACCGAUAGAGCAUCCCGUCGAACCUCCCGACGACGACCGGCCCGCCAAGUGCCCGAUGCCGGAGUCUUGCCCCCUAACUGUAAGUAGUUUUCGGAAUGAGCGGUAUCAUCGGCGAAGCUGGUUUUGAUAUUCACAUGUAGAUUCACUGAAUCUGAUCGCUGGUUUACUGAUUGAGUUGUUUCUAGUAAAUUUAAUUCGUAAAAAGUGUUGGUGAAGUAGCAGAAUUAUUAUAGAUCUUCAACUAAUAGUAAUACUACAUUACCAUGUGUUAUUUUCAUUUUCAAACUUAGAUAAAAAGUAUUCAUAGUCCAUUUAUAAGAACAUAUAAAUUCUGAAUCAACCUCCGAACUCAAGUCGUAUGAUAAGUUAGCAACAUACUUGUGAUUCAAAAUAUAGAAUAUAGGAAUAAUAACUUACAUAUACUCUUCAAAACUUCAAAAAUAUUUCAUAUAGCUCUGGUUGAAUAAAAUAUCCUUAUUAACUUUCAAAAAUCCCUUCAAAUACCGAAAGUUAUUUUGGUAAUUUCAAAGCAAAUCUAAAAGUUUUUAAUAGUAGUUAGGGAUAAAUAAGCAAAAACUCAACGGCCCCUAGAAUAUAUGACAUUUCUAGAAUAUUACAAACUUUGAAUCAAACAACCUCUAAAUGUCAUCUCAAGAAAAUGUCUUUAUAUUUAUAAAUUUUAAAGGUUGGUAGAAGUAGAAGCCCUAAACUCUUGAGGUUUUAAGCCCUAAACUCUGUGAGGUUUUUUUUUUUCUUUUGAAAAAAGGUAGUGUGAAUAAUUAACAAUCAAGUUAUUAGACAAUGCAAAUUUGAAAUUGACACUAAAACAUAAGUUGACUAACUCUCAAGUUGAUAUUAAUUUUCUUUGAUAUAUGUAAUCACCGACGAAAAUCGGUUAAAAUUGGUUUAUGCCAUCUAAAAUCAAUCAAUCAAAAGUAUAUUAAGGUUUUCAUAUCAAAAAUUAGUUGAUUGAGUCGAGUAGGGUAAUGGCAUGCAAAUUCACUAAAUUGUAGUUCUUACUUCUCCUUCUAGCUAAUUCGAGUAGGGUUCUCCGAUCAUAAGAUCGAUUUAAGUUGAUUAAGGAGCUCUUCAACUCGGUCGAAUCGAGCUUCACCUGAACUAAUUUUGGGUCUAGUUGUGAUUGGACUCGCGGGAUCGAAACGAGUUAGAAAGCGGAAUUUGGAAUAUGCAGCUUUAUUUCUUCUGAAAACCUCCGAACUCAUUUACAUACAGCUUGUGAUUUAGUUAAUUUUUUCCUUCUCUUUUUAAAUCUGUAAGGAUGAAGGAGAAUUGAAGGAAUCAUUCAAGGAGAUCUUGCAAAAGGAAGCAGAAUUGUUGGUAGAAAUUGAAGAAAGUGCGGAUCAGCGACGUUCUGCGAAGGCCGAUCGGAAAAGGCAUCAUAGUGGUGCCACUGGAGAUCCUCCAAAGUUUCCGCAGUACAAUAUUUUUCAAGUGUUUCAACAAUGUAAACAACAUUAAGAUCGAAAAAAGCGCUUCGACGCAUCAUUGUAUUUAAAUGAUUGGUUUGGUGCUUUCUUGUAACUAGAUAGAUUGGUCCAAUGAUGAAAGUUGUGUCAUCUUUAAAAAGGUGUACAUGUAGAUAUGCAGAAUUAAGUAUUAGACUCUGCCCCCAACUAAAGCUGGGAAUUGGCCUCUCAAAUUUUGAAUGGUAACAAAGCCCAAUGGUAAUUCUUUUAAGCCUGAGAAGGUUUUUGAAUUUCUUUUCUUUUUUUUCUUUUUUUUUCCCUUUUUUAACUGUGUCUGCAUAAUUUUUUAGUACCUGGAUGCCGAGAAUUUACUAUUUGUUGGUAGCACUAUUGUGAUCCAAGAGCUAAGAAGUUAAUAAUAGACACUAUUCUCUAUUCAUCGACUAUCAAUAGCAUUUCAACUAUGUUUAUUAGCCUGAAGCCGGAAACACGACCCCCGAAUUUAAGCUCAGACGGGUCUUAAACCCUUGACCUCAAAAUCGGCAUGCAAUUACAUAACUAUUAAACUCCCGACGGUUAGAUAGAUAUAUAAGAAUUCGUAAGUUUCGGUACUACGGACUUGUCUACAAUUCACUUGACUGCACAACGGGGCGAGGAGAAAAGAUGGUUCAUGCAGCAGUGUUUGUUGAAUCCCAAAUCGAGGCGAGAGCGAAGAAGCAUGCUAUCCUCGCGAACUUCAGUAGCCUAUUCUGCUUUCUAAAUCAGCAAACAAAUAUGCCCUUCCAACUCUGGCAUGCAAAACCACUGGCUUUUCUAAAUACAUACUUGUGUGUAAUAGAACACAAUGUUGGAACACGAGUUGCAUGUGAUCAUUUCAUCCACACAAUUUGUUCCGCAAGAGGGAUGUAAAAGCAUACUGCCACCGCUGAUUUUGGAAAUUGAUAUUGCCGAAGCAAAAUUUGAUAACACCAAAGAAAAUUCAUUGUAUGGAACCAUCUUUUAGGCUAUUUGGUUAUGGCAACAGUGAAAAUUGCUCUGACAACAUCGGUGCCCGUUUUAGCAGCGGAAAGAGCGUCUCAGCGAUUGACCGACAAAACCCAAACACAAGAAAAUCUCAUGUUGGCCCAGAUUCACUGAAGCCUAAAUCAUAGAUAUAUUUAUGUUAAGACUACACAGACAUAGACUAAUUAAUUACAACAGUACCACAAACCAGGCCUGGAGCAUUCAGAAUCAGUUUGAAUGAACACUCGUGGCUUCUAAACCAGAUGCUAAAACAGUUACUUUGAACUUUACUACAUCAUUGGAGGAAAAGGUAAAAGGAAAAAAAGAAAAAAAAAAAAGAUUUGCUCAUUUCAGAAUUAGAACUUCUCAUCAGGCAAAUGUUGGAUGCUGAUGAGAAGGCUCGAAAACAGCUGAAGAUACCAAAACUAAGCACAUCAUCCCAACUGAAAAUGGAAUCCAGCAACUCCGAAAUAUAGAGGAAGACAACAACAUUCACAUCUAACAAUUCAUCUAGCCGAACAUCGAAUUUGUUUACAAGGAGGUUGGGACUAAUAUAAAAAUUUACGCCGCUAGUUUAGCAAGAAUGCCCAUGUCUAAUAUUUUCACAUCAUAUGUGUCGUCCAAUUUCACUAUGCCAUCGGUGCCAUCGAUUCCAAUGAGCUUCCCGGUGACCCCUCGGAGCGAGCUGCUCAGGAUCUUGAUCCUGUCGGAUUUCUUGGGCUGCACCAUCUCGAUUUCCGUGGGAAGAGCAAUGACAGUCUCCCCGUUUCCUGCCGCUCCAAGGGCAACCUUGCAAGAUCCGUCCUGCGAAGCAUAAUGUUUCUCUAUGUGAACAAAGCAGAAUACUAGAGAAAGAAAACAAAAUACCAGAGGAAGAAACAGAAGUGGCUGUUUAGCAUGGCCGCUAAAGCAACUAUUACUCCAAUCAGCAGUAUGUAAAAAUGUACAGAGACCACCUUAACAAUACAGUAUAACAAAAUAUACGCUUUUCUUAAAUUGGCAUCCCCUCAAUUUUUUGCAUUACAAAAUAUACCCUUUUCUUAAGAGUGGCAUCCCCUCAAACUUUUGUUUGAGGUGAUUAGAGUCAUUUUAAAUUGAGCUAGGGAUUCCAGUAAAACUAAAGGCUCCAACUGCCUGCCGUUAACUUAUUGAUGAAUACCAAAACAAAAGGCAGACAGAAACACUAAUAUUAUUUAACAAACUCCCCAAUUCAAUUGAUAAAAGUAACGCAAUUCAAAAACAGCAAAAAAAAAAAAGCUGCUGCUAUCCACAAAAAUAUAAAUCUGAGGGAUCUAUAACAAAGUGGCCUAUAGUUCGCAGGGUCUCCAUACAUUUCUACCAAGAAGUGUCGGGUAUCGAAAUGAGCUUCUUAGCCAUAAAAGCAGAAUCUCGAAUUUGAAACUUCUGCUUCUGCGGAAAAGACAAGUAGUGGUAGUGAUUUCAUAUUAAAAACUCUACUAAAACACACAAAGUUCGAACAGCUCUACUCAGUCAAAGAAGAUUAAGACUUGAAAUCGCAAAUGGAUUCAUCUACACAAUCAAGUGUGUGCAUACCGUCAGCACUUCUCUAACUACUCCAAUAUGAGGAUCCUCUCCAGGCCUAACAGUAUUCACCAAAAUGUCGGGCAUGUACCAUAUGCCAUCACCUUCGCCACCUGCACGCAUCAUACACAUAAAAAUGAGACCACUCAUCAGUCUGCAUAUCACAUUGGAUCAUUAAGAUAAUUCAUUUGGGCUAAACCAGUAAAAGAGUACACUCAUUUGAAGAAUUAUAAACGAUUAGGAGUAAUAAACUGUUCAAGCAGACAAAAAAAAGGACAAACAGACCUAUUAAAGGAGACAUCAUAUCCAUUCCAACAUUCCCAGGUGUCAUCGGCUGUCCGCCAGGAGUUCCAGGGAGAUAAGAUGCAGAAGUAGGGGUCAUCGGUUGUCCAACAGGUGUUGAUGGCAAGUAAGGGCUUGGAGCAUUUCCUGGACAAACAAAAAGAAAACAAUGUUUUUUUUAUAUAGUCCAGUUAUUUCUCAAAGCAUAUACAGGAAACCAAAAUUCUCAGAUUAAGCAUCAAGUUCUGUUACCAUAGCUGUUAUCCCUGGGAGUUGGAGAGUCAUUAUAAUUGCCACCUGGAGUGUUAGCCCAACCUGAACCAGGAGUAGGUGCUUCAUAUGGCCGGGCCGGAGGUGUUCCUGGCUGAAAUUAAUUAGCAGAGGAUAUAACAGUGAUUAAGCUUUUCAAAUCCAAGAAGAAUAAUAAUGCAUGUAAAACAAAAUAGUUUUUUCCAUGCAAUACUUUUAGCUACAGAACAAAACAGCGAAAAAAAACAGAGAGAUACAAGAAAAGGGGAGAAACACUGCCGUAGGACAAGGAUAUCAAACCUGAUAAGGCGGACUGCUUCCCCAAGUGGCAGGAUUUCCGUCUUCCCAGCUAUCCCUGGUAUAAAUUAUUGAGAUCAUGUCAGUCAGCGAACUUACAGGCUGAUAGUGGCAAUGUGGAAAAUUUUCACGAACGAUCUGAUUAUUGCGAAAUUCCUGCUUCCACGUGAAAAAUGUAGAUUUGGCUCAGCGCUACACAAUAACAACAUUAACAGUGAUGUUCAAAUCAAUUUCCUCAAUAUGGAGGAACCUGCCCCUAAUUAACACGACAAACAGGGAUAAGAAUAUCGGGAGAACCAGAGAAGUAGUCUUUUGCUGAACUCCAAUACUUCUUAGUAUUUCGGGGCAUGUGACCUUGGGACAGUAGUUUAAAAGUUGAAAAAGGUAAUGAAAAUAGCAAAGUGCAAAAUAGCACAGCCUAUCAGCCAUCAUUGCCUUCAUUUUUAUUUUAGGGGGAAAAGAUCUCAGAAACAAUUGAACUUUACCCUAUUGUAAUUAACCACAUUAACUUAGAAAGCGUUGAAGUUCAUCACCUGAGCAAUAAUUCCACUACAAUCUACCGCAAUUCCAUUAAUUAGAAGCAUCUGAGUCAAAAUUUCAGUGAAAAGAUCAAUGUACCAAUCCACAUUUCAGCUCGAUACUUAAUUUUCCUGACAAAUGUCUCAUUAAUUUGGUAGACAUAGGGUUUUCGUGGUGGAUUGCAGCAAAAAUCAUUGUUUCAUAGUAAAUUGCAAUGUUUCAAAUUUCAAGUGGUGAAUUGCGAAUUGGACAGAGUGUAAGACUUGCAUGCAAAGAUUAAUAGGAGAAACUAUAAAGGUUGUGUGACUCCAUUACGCAUAUGUUAAUUCUUCAAGUAAUAGAGAUGCCUCAUUUCAUUCAAUUACCAAUACGCAAAGCACUAUGUUACUCUUAAUCAAACUACUGGUAAAUUCAUUACUUCUUAAAACCACACUAAGAUUUCAGAGAGGCUUCAUAGGCCUAAUGCUCCAUUGUAAGAAAACAUCAUAAAAAAGAGUAAAUCAAAGAUACUUCUAAGUUCUGAUCUUAUAAGAUAUGCUCAUAUGCCAAAUAAGAGUUUUGCUAGAUUGCUUCUACUUCAUUUUUUUAUGACGGGACAUCUAAGUUGACGAUCAGCAUGGGUAGAUUUGAUCUUGAGUAUUUGAAGUCCAUGGGAUUCAAGUUUUAUGAUUUUUUGCCAUGAUCAUAAGAUAAAUGAUCAGGUGGUCUCAAAAUGAAUAGCUGAAAGUGAAAAUAUCAUAAAAAAGAUGAUACAAUUCUGAAAUUUCAUACUAGAGAUGCCAAUCUUGCUGUGCGGUGUGAAAAGAAUUUUCUACCAAAACUCCACUCAAUUUGAGAAGUUCAACACCAUCAAAUAAAUUUCAGAUCUGAGGUGUUGAACAUUUUGUAAAUAGUGAGAAGAAUUUUCUAUCAAAAUUUCUCUCAAUUUGGAUAUCUCUACACUAUUAAACGAUCAAAGGGCUCAUUAUUGCCACUAAAAUAGUUGAUUUUGGGACCCUUUGAUCACUAGGUAAAUAAUGUCAAAGAAUUAUGAAAUUUGGUUGUUGAUACUUCAAAGAGUGUAGAUCAGGUACAACAGUGUCAAUCGCCAAGUAAUGCCCCAUCAUCAAUAGUGAAGUGGAAGCACAAAGACCCCAAAUUCCUGAAAAUGAAGUGGAGGAACAAAGGCCCCUGCACUUCCAAGAGAAAUCUAGCCCAACUGGUUAAAUUAUCUUAAUCUUCAAAGGAAAGGGUUAUGCAUUUGGAUAGGCUGGGUCCUGUUAAAACUGUAUCGCAACAAAUCCCUCCCUCUUGUAACACACCUUCUCUAAGGUGCACCCCUGCACUUUUUUCUAGCAGUUCAUGUAUUUCGUCUUGUGACAAACAUAACAGUUUAAAGUGAAUGAAUGGUGCCUUUGAAUAAAAGCACACCACCAAACACCACCAUAAUUAGUAUCCUUUUCCUGACAAGGUGUCAAAGAUACGGUUCUCAUACGGCUUUGAAAAAUCAACUUGCAUAACUUCUGUCAUUGUAUACUCCUCUGACUUCAGUGGUGGCAAUGGUACGUCAGUUAGGAAUAGAUUCAAAGAUGCCCGACGGUUUAUUAAAGCAUCUCGGGCUUCUUUGUAAUCAUCAGUUGUCGGAUCCCCAUCGUUUUCAUUGCCCAGGAUUUUCUUGUUUUGUAUAUGUUUCAAUUUCCACAACCAAUGUGCCUCUUUGAUUAAACAUCUAUUUUGUGAACUCAUGUCAUUAUAAUCUGAUUCAGCAUCCAUAUUAAGUUUCGCACCCAUAUGCUUGGAUUAGAGAUUAAUGUUGAUAGCGUCUAACUUCCUCAUCAUCGGUCUCAUGACUCGACCCCUGAUCUUGUUGCUGCAUAUAUGCUUGUAUUGUGUUAGCUUCCAUGCCCAAUUGAAUUUGCAGUUGAUUAUGGCUUUCUUAGAUGUGGUCAGAGGUCUGUUUGCAUCUUUCGUGAGCAUCAGUAAAGUCUUGAAAGCAUUGGAGAAUAUGGAAACUUACGGAACUUUUCUACACCUUUCUAAGAUUUCAUAGGAACUUUCCAAUGGGUUCUGGAAAAGUUAAUGGGAUAUAGGCGAGCCUUAAGAGUUAGAAACUGACUAGCGCAUUCUCGUUUUCCCUUUUUUCAACCCCAAAACAAUAAAAGAGUUUAAAAAAAAAACAAAAAAGAACAGGAGAUAUUGGAGAAUAGUAUAAACAAAAAUUUUAAAACUAAAAGAAAAUAACUAAAUUCCUUACGAACAAAAACCUUGAAAAUAUGUUAUGCACUUAACCUUUUCGUCCUUCCCAAAUGGUGGUGUGGAUGACUCUUCACUGAUAAAAAUUGGUCUUACCUUUUUAGUUUUUAGUUUUUUACUCUUCUUCGUGAACAACAUCAUAAAUAAUUGCCACUCCCUAACGCACGUGUUAUUCUUCAAGGGAUCAAGAUGCCUCAGUCAAUUAAAUUACCACUUCUCCCAAUCCUACAUUACUCUUAAUCAAACUACUUUAAAUUUUAUUACUUCACUGAUGCGGACCGGGUCCCCUUUCGAGUGUACCAACGCCAUCAACGCUGCAAAGCAACUUGAGCAUGUGGCUCGAUCAAUUCGGAUUGGGUUCGGAUCGGGUGUUUCUAGAAGUAUCUAAGGUCAUGUGAUUUUGUUUAAAAAUCUGUUUCUUUGGAUGCAUUGAGAUUUAGUUAUUUUUUUAAGAUAGGUUGAGAUUUUGUGAGAUUUUUAUUCUAUUAGGAUAGGUUGAGAUUUUGUUACCAGAUUUUUAUCAUGUUAGAAUAGUUGUUUAAGUUGAUAUAUUAUUUUGAGCUUAUUCAUUUGUUAGGAAAGCUCUUUAAAUAAGCCUAUGUAUGGAACAAUGAAAACAAUGAAGAUGAAUAUUGUUAUAGUCAUUGAGAUGUGUUCUCUAAAUUCCUUCGCAUUUAUGCGUCGACCGGAGUGAAUCCGUGGAGAGCGAGUCCCUUUAUCUUUUUUUUUUUCUCCGCUGACUGCAUUCGUCGUCGCCAUCGUCAUCCACCAUCGACGUCAUCUCCACCAGUCUUGCCACGCCACUACCAAUUGUUGCGCUCGAGCCACCUCCCGAUCAUUUCGACGUCACUAUCAAACCGAUGCCAUAUAGCUUGUCCACCGGACUCCUAUCUCUCAAAUAACCACCCAUUGCUUUGUGUCCAUAGAAGGUGCCCAAGGAGAGGCUUGGAUCCGAUUGAUUAAGAACGGGCAGUUCUAUUUUGUUUGGAGUUACUAAUAUCGCCUGCGGAGCAUUGAAAGGUUAGAUUGACCAUCCCUAAUUUUAGUUUUGCGUCAUCUAUCGGCCCCUUCUUUGUUUUUUUUUUUUCUAGAAGUAUUUUUUUUUUCCUUUUUGGCGAGUCCAGAUUGUGGGUCCCACUGUGUUGCAUUUGAGUUGCAUUAAAGAACCCUUUAAUAAUAGGAUUUGAUUGCAUGCAAUAUUUCAUAUUUACAUUCAUCCUACAUCAAAUUUGGUAUCAGAACCCUAGGUUAAUGAAUGAACCUUAGAAGUGGCAAGAUUUAUCAACCUUUACCGAUGUCCUCAGACCCCACAAAAAUGGAACAAAUUUUACAGCAAUUAGCCGCUUUGAACGCUAAACUAGACGACAUAGGGAACCGUGUUACCAACCUAGAAACGAAUCCUGAUAAGGUCACAACACAAAACAAUGACACUACAGGAGUAGAACAAGAGGGAUCUGCUGCACACACUGCACAACCACGUGAUAUUAACGUUCGAAAUGUCUUUCAACAAAUGCCCCCAAGAUUCAAUCCUCUUUUACAAGGAAAUGAAAAUUUUAACUUUCAAGAUGACAUCACAUAAAAGGUUAAAAUUGAUGCACCAAGUGUUGACGAAAAACUUGAUUUGAAAUUAUUCACAAACUGGCUCGUCGACAUGGACCAGUACUUCAACUGGUAUGAAAUGUCUGAUAGUCAACAGGUUCGUUAUGCUAAAAUGAAACUCACCGGCGCCGCCAAGCAAUAUCGGAUUGGCGUUGAAAGACACUUAGAGCAGAUUGGCCAGGAGCCCAUCACUUUGUAGGCAGAGAUGAAGGCUAAACUGAGAGAGAAGUACUUGCCAUCUACGUACAAACAACAAUUGUACGAUCAAUUGAACACUGUAUAGCAAGGUUCUAUGUCAGUUGCUGAUUACAUGGCCAAGUUUGACGAGACAAACGUUCGUUGCGAUAUUCAAGAAGAAGAGGAAUGAAUUGUCUCCUGAUUCCGCCACAGGUUGUGCAAGUUACAGCGCGAAAUUGCGCCGCACAGGGCCGCAACCGUUGAGCAAGCUUUUAAACUCGCUUAGAAUAUGAGAAAUAUUUAAAAACACCAGCUCGACAAUUUGUUGGAAAAUUCAAUACGCCUAACGCAAAUCCAAAUUUUACUAAAGCGAAUAAUUUUCAAAAUCAUCAAAAUUCUAAUUCUAUGGGCAAGGGUUUAGCUAUAAACGACACUAAACAAGAAAACAUACAGGGUAGGUGUUAUAACUAUCGCCAUAUAGGUCAUACAUGAUGUAGGACAGAAUAUAGGGUCCUACAUUUUUAGAGGGCUCCAAAAUAUAAUUUAUGAUUUUGAAAGCUUUUUGAAAAUUUGAAAGCUUGUGAAAUAUUUUUUUUAGAAAUUUUCGAAAUUAAAAAAAUAAAAAUUAAAGAAAAUAGAAAAAUUCAAAAAAUAGAAAAAAUUAGAAAAAAUAAUCAGAACUCACUCCUGAACCGAACUCACUCUAGGGCGAAGCAUUCGCGAAGGAAAAAAGACUUCAUUGCCAAAUCAUUUAUCUUCAUUAUAAAUUCAUCCCCAUACAAAGAAGUCUUAUACGUUAUUUAUAUUAUGUUUAACCUUAUCUAUACAUAACCAACUUAGAAUUUAAUCUUAUCCUAAAUAACUAAAUAAAGCAACUUUACCUAGAGAUUAACAAAAAAAUGAAAAUUAAAAAUAAAUACGAUUGAAACAAAUAAGAGGAUAGCUAAAAAUCCUCAUUUAACUAACGAAAAAAUAUUCUCAACUAAUCUAAUCUAAUUUUAAAAACGAUAAACAAAAUCGGUUUAAUCCGAUCAAAAUAGGUUCAAGCUUGUUCUGCAUCAUUACGCUUAUGAAUGCCCCAAGUGGAACAUGUUUGUUCAGCCAGAUGGCGAUGAGUUGGAGAACUUAGAGGACGUCGCACACACAAUCGAUGAAAUUCCUAGUGAUGAAGAUAUGUUGAGAUCGAACGAGGAGUUUGAAGAAAACGUCACCUUACAAGUCAUGCAUUGUAUUUUGACCCAACCUAGGAAAGAGAAUGAUUGGAGGUGCACUUCCAUAUUUCACACCUAUACGAAAUGUAGAGACAAGAGUUGCAAGGUCAUCAUUGAUGGUGGUAGUUGCAUUAAUAUAAUAUCAGAAGCUGUCGUAGGUCGUUUAAACCUGAAAACAGAGCCUCACCCUAACCCUUAUAGUGUUGCGUGAGUAGACAAGACCAUUAUGCCGGUAAAACGACAUUGUUUGGUUCCACUUCAUUUUGCUACCUACUCCGACCAGAUUUGGUGCAAUGUCCUCCCUAUAGAUGUCGCUCAUGUUCUUUUAGGAAGAUCAUGGCUAUAUGAUAUGUCUGUCGUUCACCACGGAUUAUCCAAUACCCAUGUUUUUGCUCACAAUGGCAAGAAAAUUGUUUUGAGCCCAACAAACCCUUCUUCACAAAAAUUUUCAUCAAAAAACUCGAAUCCUACCAAAGAUUUUAAAAAUCCACCAUUAGAGAUUGAGAAAACAAAACCCCUUCAUAUUUUAAACAAAAAAAAGUUUUGUAGAGAAAUUGAUUCAAAAAUUGUGUACGCUUUAAUUGUAAAGGAGACUGCUCAAUUGACUAAUUCUUUUGAAACCCCUUUAGUAAUUAAGGAACUCCUUGCCGAAUUUAGUGAAGUCGCACCAAAAGAAUUACCUGAUAAACUUACCCCACUUAAAGACAAACAACAUGAUGUAGAUAUGGUCCCAGGGUCAUGCUUACCUUACCGCAUUAUAGAAUGAACCCUAAGGAACACGCUGAACUAAAGCGCAAAGUAGGAGAGUUGAUUAAGAAGGGCUUUGUACGAAGAGCAUGAGUCCCUACGCAAUACCGGCACUUCUUACACCAAAGAAGGACGGAAGUUUGUGCAUGUGUGUGGACAGUCGUGAUAUUAAUAAAAUCACAGUUAAGUAUCGAUUUCCGAUUCCCCGCUUGGAUGAUAUGUUGGAUAUGAUGGUAGGGGCAACUAUUUUCAGAAAGCUUGAUCUUCGUAGCGGUCACCACCAAAUUCGACUUCGGCCUAGGGAUAAGUGGAAAACUGCCUUUAAAACUAGAGAAGGGUUGUACGAGUGGCUAUUUAUGCCAUUCGGUUUGACAAAUGCCCCGAGUACUUUCAUGAGGGUAAUGAACCAAGUUUUUCGACCAUUUAUUGGCAAGUUUGUGGUAGUAUAUUUUGAUGAUAUUUUAAUCUACAGUCGUGCCGAAAACGAACACUUAAUUCACAUGCGACAGGUUUUUGAAAUCUUGAGUAAGGAAAAAAAAUUAUGCAUAUGAAAAAAUGUUCUUUUAUGCAACCCUGUGUUAUUUUCUUGGGUUUCAUUGUAUCCAAAGAUGGGGCAUUGGCUGACCUAAAAAAGGUCAAGGCUAUUAGAGAAUGGCCAGAACCGAAAAAUAUACAUGAUGCUAGGAGCUUUCAUGGCCUAGCAACUUUUUAUCGACGAUUCAUUACAGGUUUAGUACUAUAAUGGCCCCGAUUACAAAUUGUUUAAAGAAUGGUGAAUUCAAAUGGACAAAAUCGACCACAAAAGCUUUUCAAGAAAUUAAGGAAAUGAUGACAAAGGCCCUCUGUUUUGAAAUUACCAAAUUUUGAAAAGAUUUUUGAAGUUUCUUGUAAUGCCUCUGGGGUGGGAAUUUGUGGAAUAUUAACCCAAGAAGGUCAUCCCAUAGCUUAUUUUAGCGAAAAAUUAAAUAAGGCUAAACAAAAAUAUUCCACUUACGACAAAAAAAUUAUACGUUGUGGUUCAAACCCUGAGAUAUUGGCGACAUUAUUUGUUACCAAAAGAAUGUGUUUUAUUUUCUAAUCACCAACCUCCCAGUUACUUUUAACUCACAAAAACAUUUAAAUUUUCGACACGCAAAGUGUAUUGAGUUUAUUCAAGAAUAUACUUUCACUUUGAAACAUCGAGCCGGGGUAGAUAAUAAAGUUGCUGAUGCAUUAAGUCGAAUCGUAACAACCUUGCAUAAAGUUGGAGGGAGUGUAAUCAGGUUCGACAGUAUUAAGAGAGAAUAUUCCUCAUGUCCGGAUUUUAGCAAAAUCUACACCUUAGCUUUAGAGAACAAAUCCGCCGACCCAGAUUUUGUCAUUCGAGAUGGCUAUCUAUUUCGCGGUAGUCAUUUAUGUAUUCCGCAAGGCUCGUUGCAUGAUUUCAUUGUUUGGGAAUUACAUACAGGAGGUUUAGUCAGACAUUUUGGUCGAGACAAAACCAUCUCUAUGGUUAAGGACAAGGUUUAAAGUGUUGGGGCACGGGGGCGUGCCGUUGUCUGCCUGGCACGGUACGGCACCGGCACGCUUCCAUGCCGACACAUGGUACGCUUGCAUGCCGAUGGAUACGCACGACCUCCUACCAGCACGCUUUGGCACGGACUUAUUUCAAUUUUUUUUUGUUCCAAUAAGCUCUUAUAAUGUUAUUUUGAAAGAAUUAAUCAAAUAAUUAUGAAUAUAUGCUAUGUAUAGCUUACUAUACUCAUCAAUUAACAUAUUUGUAAGCUUUUUUGUAUGUAAAGUACAAUUAUACCUGAUGCAGAAUAAAAAUUUUUACAGGUUAGAAUUUUUAAAAUACAAAGACAUCUUUUUUUUCUUUUUUUCUUUUGACCAUAUUAUAGUUUUUCUUUUAUACAAUACAAAAAAAAUAAUUUUACAUUUUUUUGAAAAAAUUAUUUUAAAAAGUAUUUGAAAAAAUUUAUUUUUUUAAUUAUUUUUUUCAAAAAAUUAGUAGGUCUAUCAAAAAAAUUAAGCAAUAAAUUAUAUGACAAAUAAAUUAAAUAAAUUUAAGUAUCAAUUGAUUUAAUUUAGCUUUUAAUCUUAUCAGUAUUUUCAAUCUUCUAGCGCAAAAAUAAAAUUUAUGUUUGAUGUGGCUUAAAAUUUGUUUAUUGAGUUCGAUUUUGUUCCCUUAAUUCGCCAAAAAUUUCGUGGUGCGACAAAUUUUGAUAAAAUAAUCUGUGACUAAAAAAUAAAUAUCUGUGGUGGAAGCGGAGGGCUCGGACAAAUCUUUUGUCCGUAUAUUGAUAAAUAAAAAAAAUUAAAUUAUAAAUUUUUUGACUUAUCUAAUAAGUAAAUUUUCGAUUUGCAAUAUCUUUGGGGAGGUGUGGAGUACCCAGAAUGCUUUGGAUAUCCCAAAGAACAAAACAAAGAAAAAAAAAUAAGAAAAAAAAAUUUAAAAAAAAGCACAGUGCUAGCACAGCACUGUAACGUGGCACGCUGCACCGUGCCGCUCUGUCUCGUGCGGCACGGCGCUGCGUGCCGCGGCACGAAGGAGGGUCCGAGACCCCCCCUUACCGUGCCACCUUCAUGCGGCACGGAGCAGCAAUUUAAACCUUGGUUAAGGAUCGAUUCUUUUAGCCGAACCUCAAGCGAGAUGUUGCUCACAUCGUGGCACGAUGUGGGACGUGUCAAAAGGCUAGAGGCGGCCGAAAGAAUGAAGGAUUAUACACACCUUUACCCGUACCACAUUCUCCUUAGCAAGACCUAAGCAUGGAUUUUGUUUUGGGUCUACCAAAAACUAUUAGAAAACAUGAUUCGAUCCUUAUCGUAGUUGACCGCUUUUCUAAAAUGGCACACUUCAUUCCUUGUCGCAAAACAUCUUAUGCUACUCAUGUAGCGAAACUUUUUGUCGUUGAAAUUGCACGACUUCAUGGGUUACCAAAAUCAAUCGUGACUGAUAAGGAUGCUCGCUUCGUUAGUUAUUUUUGGAAAACAUUAUGGAAAAUUAUAAGUACAAAAUUGCUUUUCUCGUCUUCACAUCACCCGCAAACUAACAGUCAAACGGAGGUAGUCAAUAGGAGUUUGGGAAACCUACUUCAAUGUCAAGUUGGUGAGAAUGUUAAGAAUUGGGAUCUCAUCUUACCACAAGCUGAAUUCGCAUAUAAUAGCUCAAUUAAUCGAACAACCGGAAUGAGCCCAUCUAAGAUAGUGACAGGAUAUAAUCCAAACAAAGACCUAGUGAACAUGCAUCUUCAUUUGCACAACAUAUGCGGGACUUACAUUACGAGAUUCGACGAAAAAUAGUUUUAAGUAAUGAUAACUAUAAGAAAGUCGCCGAUAGACACAGGCGCGUUGUUGAAUUUAAUGAAGGAGACUCGAAAGGAGACUCGAUGAUGGUGCGGAUUAGACCCGAAAGGCUUCCGCAUGGUACUAUUAGAAAACUAUAUGCAAGAAAUAUGGGUCCGUUUACAAUUCUUAAGAAAAUUGGUUCUAAUGCUUAUUUAUUGGAUUUACCGUCUAAUAUGAGAAUUAAUCCUACUUUUAAUGUUGAAGACCUCAUCUUAUACCAUCUAGAUACACUAAAUUCAUGUCCCAAGUCCCCACCUCAACUUGUUCCGAGUAUCCCAUUACAGGAAAAGCGAGAUGACAUUGAGGCAAUCCUUGAUGAUCAGAUUGUAUCGACGAGGGAUGACGGAGAGCCCAACUUUUUGGUCAAGUAGUAAUAUCGACCGGAAGAAAACGCAACGUGGAUUUCGCAUGAUGAGCUUCAACGACUAGAUCAAAAUCUAUAUGAGAAGUACAUCUCGAACAAUUCGACGGAGUCGAAUUUCUCGAAGGCGGGGAGAGUUGAUGCGGACCAGGUCCCCUUUCGAGUGUAGGAAUGCCGUCGAUGCUGAAAACGCAACUUGAGCAUGUGGCUCAAUCAAUUCGGAUUGGAUUCGGAUUGAGUCACACUCGUUUGUUUCCAGAAGUAUCUAAGGUCAUGUGAUUUUGUUUAAAAACUUGUUUCUUUGGAUAAGUUGAGAUUUAGUUUAAAAGGAUUGGUUGAGAUUUUAUGAGAUUUUUUUUCUAUUAGAAUAGGUUGAGAUUUUGUUAUCAGAUUUUUAUCAUGUUAGAAUGGUUGUUUAAGUUGAUAUUUUAUUUUAAGCUUAUCCAUUUGGUAGUAAAGCUCUUUAAAUAAGCCUAUGUAUGGAACGAUGAAAACAAUGAAGAUGAAUAUUGUUAUAGUCAUUGAGAUGUGUUCUCUAAAUUCCUUCACAUUUAUGCGUCGACCGGAGUGAGUCCGUGGGGAGCGACUCCCUUUAUCUUUUUUUUUCUUCUGCCACAUGCAUUCGUCACCGCCAUCGUCAUCCACCAUCGACAUCAUCUCCACCACAGUCUUGCCACGCCACUACCGAUUGUUGCGCUCGAGCCACCUCCCGAUCAUUUCGAUGUCACUAUCAAACCGAUACCAUCUAGCUUGUCCAUCGAACACAAUUGUUUUUCCCUUUUAACCUUUCAAUUACCUUGUCUUAUUUUCAUGUUUACUUUUUUUCUUUUCUUCCCGACUCCUAUCUCUCGAAUAACGACCCUUUGCUUUGUGUCCAUAGAUGGUGCCCAAGGAGAGGCUUGGAUCCGGUUGAUUAAGAACGGACAGUCCAAUUUCAUUUUGAGUUUACUAAUAUCGCCUGCGGAGCAUUGAAAGGUUAGAUCGACCAUCCCUAAUUUUAGCUUUGCGUCAUCUAUCGGCCCCUUCUUUGUUUUUUUUUUUUCUAGAACUACUUUUUUUGUCCUUUUUGGCGAGUCUGAAUUGUGGGUCCCACUAUGUUGCAUUUGAGUUGCAUUAAAGAACCCUUUAAUAAUAGGAUUUGAUUGCAUGCAAUAUUUCAUGUUUGCAUUCAUCCUAUAUCAUUCACAAAAUCAUACUACAACGAAAGAGAGAACUCUUGUUUAUGGGCUCAAAUCCAUAAAAUACCCUAAUGACAAGAAGAUACUACUAGCCUAAAGUUAUUUCGAAUAAAAGUUCUUUUCCUAAUCUCAUAAAAGAAAUAAUCCUAAAUCCACUGAGGAAAAGGCCAUGCAUCUGGUUCAGGUACGCAACUGGGUCUAGUUUGAAGGCGAUUGUAAAACAAACCUUGGAGGACUCAUCGGCGCCCAUGCUCGGUUGCGCAAUGGUGUUCUCAUACCAUCAUGUAUGGGAGUUGCUGCAAAACAAAAAAUUAAAACACGAAGUCAAAAUUUAUGUAUCGAGAACAUAUUUAUAAAUGAUACACCAAGUAAACAUAUUUAUAAAGAAGUUGCAGUGGACCAUUUAUCCCCUGAUCUAGACAAGCAAACUAGACACACUACGUGAAAUGACAUAUAGAUAGAAUCAAGAAAAUAUCAGCAACAUACCCAAGAUGUUAAGUAUUAUAAGUACAUUUUUGGCAGACAUCUGACUAAAAUUUUCACCGAGCAAUGAAGAAAGAGAACCGAAAUUAAUCACUGGACGAAACCACACCUGAAGGAUCUCUCAUUGGCGUCUGAAUUGGAUGAAGUGGCGUCCGGGAUGGAUGCAUUGGAGUUUCACUACCCGAAGCAAAUCUUGAUUCACUGAUGUGUAUAAAAUGUCAGCAUAAGAAACAAAAUUUUGAGCCUCAAUAAAAAUAGAUGCAUCACAGGAUCAUUACCGGAAUGGUGUUGCAGCACCAGGAGUAUCAGAAAUCUCGUCUCUUUUAACUGCAAAUUCACUUCUUAUAUUAAACUAUGGAAAAUAUUAGAAUAAAAUAAGCUGUAAACACAAAGCUUACCUGUGACAAUCUUCAUCUGUGAAUCCAGCUCUACGCGCACAAAUCCACUGGUGAUCUCCUUAACACGGCCGCGAUACCCCUUAAAGGGACCAGAUUUAAUUUUAAUGCAUCUACCUACCAAAGAAUCAUGCCCUCUUCCACCUCCGAACCUUCCACCUCCGAACCUUCCACCAACUGCACCAAGUAAUUUUCUCAUAUGAUUAUGGUAAUUCUAACCACAUAAAACAUCAUAAUUUAGGCUGGCAAUGAAACUGAAUAAGAUCAUAUCAAGAUUUUUUAUAGAAAUUUAUGUUUAGAAUCAAAAGUUCUUCCAAAACUAAAGUCAUACAAUUUGUAGGAGGUCCUCUUGGAGGAAGCCUUCUUGGGGACUGCAAAACAUUCGAUGAAGAUCUCAAACCACCAAAUCGAGAAUCUAAUGCAUCUACACCCUGUAGUACAAUAAUCAUAAUGAAUCACAGCGUCAACCAUUAUAAAGAUUUAUAAGAAACUAAAAUGACUGGCAAAAAGUAAACAAAAGCACAAAAGCAUUUCAGGCAUACAUUCAUGCCGUGACCCCUAUUUGAUCCACCAACAACUACACAAGACUGUGCUUUAGCACAUAUAAAACCAGCAUGCUCCAGGUGGUGUCGAUCAUAGAUGAACAAGAUCCCUUUAUGUAUGUGCUCAACAGGCCCUUGCUUCCCCUAAAUGGAAGAAAAAAUAAACAAACAGUUGUGUCAAGCCGAAAGCAUCACAUAUUCAUAUACAGAAAAAGGCACCAGAAAUUCACUAAGUAGAAAAAUUAUACUGUAUCUCACCUUACAUGGUCCUUCAAUUACCCUCACAACAUCCUUAACUGACACAAUAUUAUUCGAUCGAUCUUUGGCAUUGGUUCGUCUGUCAAUCUUGCUCUUUAUUUCCCUCAGUUUAAUAAGCACGACCUCAGGUCUAUCAGGUACACCUUUGAGAACCUAAAGACAAACAACUAUUAAUUUUUUUUUUUUACCAAAUAGAAAAGGCCCAUAAUCAACUUCUGGAAUUUUCUAACUUGCCUGAAAUGCUUCACUUUCCACACGUAUAAUUACACCAAAUGACAUGUUGCUGCAGGGAAUCCAACAAAAGCAUAAGACAGAGUAAGACUGAAAACCAAUGACAAAAAACAAUGUCCGAGCAAUCUCAAAAGUAAAUCUUACUCUAGCAUCACAAGAUCAUGCAACUCGUAAUCCCCAAUUCGUGUAACCCCAGUAGUAAUUUCAGAACUUUCGACUACAUGGUCCGCAAAUACACGGAUCUGAGAUCAGAAGGAAUUAAUCUCCUGUUGAAGUAAUUCUCAUUUUCUUAAAAAGGAAAGGAAAAAAAUUCUGCUUACAUGCUCUUUUGUAGUGUCUGAUAAGAUAAUCAAAACAUGCCCCUCAACUUUUACAACCAUACCAGUUGCACCUUCUUGAACACCAGAAACUACUUUUACAUGGUCUCCAGGUUUAAAGUAUUUGCACAGCUCCUUCUCAUUGAAAGCCAAUGUUUUCUGCAAAGACAACCACAUUAAGAAUUCCACUGGAUUGAACAACUUGCAAAAAUAACUGAUUUAGCAUGAACAUAUGUUUGUUAGGUAAUUACAGGAAGGUCCGGCAUUUUCGGUCUGAUAUGGACAGUGUCCUCCUCUACUUUCUCAACCCAGCCUUCCAGAUUCUUGAGAUCUCCUCGAACAACAAUGACAGCAUCACCUUUCAUGAAAUGGCCUUUCUUCCUGUUUGCAAACAAAGUGGACAAGCUAGCCACGUCUCCAUUAACAUCAUCACCAGGUUUCCGAAAUUUCUCAAGCUCAUCAAAGGUUGGCUGAAUAUUUUGUGAGCUGAUUGACUUAAAUGAUACUGUUUUGUAAAGGAAUCCAUCUUUGAACAUUAAACCAUCAACCAUCUCGAAAUACUCCCCUGAAUCUCUGUCCCUCCUCCUCUCCACACGGAUACGCAUCUCCCUAAUUGCAUUUCAAAGAAAAAGAAGAAAAUAAAAAUUAAAUUAUGAUUUUAUUACGUAAAACUCUAUUUCAGUAUAAAUCGGUAUUGGAGCAAAAUAGUACCUUGCUUCAUCAAUGUUAAAAAACCUUGGUGGAGGUACAAAUGUCUUCUUCUUUCCAAUAUCCCUACCUUCCUGAAAAAUACUAACCUCUUCAGUACGAAAAAGCAUGAACACAGAUACAACCUCAAUCAACUAACAUUCAUAAAACAAGGUACAUACAAAACUUGUAUAAAUAUAUGUUGUUAAAAAGCAUAUCAGGCUGUGAAGAGAAAUUUUGUGAACAUAAUGUCUGGAAUUAAAAGCAACUGUGUUCUGGACACCAGAAUCACUGUUAAGGGCUCCAUCAAUAUGAUGAAUACAUAUAAUCCAGAAAUGAGCAAGUUCUGACGGUUUAACAUCAAUGAAGUAAAAUAAUGCAAGCAAUAAUGAUUAAUGAAGGAUAUAUAUAUAUAUAGAGUAGAAAGUCAGCUUUAUAUAGCAGAAAGAACAAAGCAAGUUUAAUUCUUCUUAUAUUAAAAAGUAGUAAAAAGAAAAAAGAAAGAGAACCCACCAGUUUAUUGGCAAGAGUUUGUAAAUCAACUCUUGGAAUUAGCUUAACAGUUACUCUCUGGCGCACAUUGUCAACAUCAACAACCUGCAUAAAACAGCUUUGGUUAAUAUAGAAAGGAGGUAGGAAAAGCAGAAGCUAGACAGCCCAAAAAGAAAUAGCCGUACUUUAGCAAGAUCUCCUUUAUAUAUGCCUAUCUUCAUUCUAACCCACGUAUCCCUAGCAAGAUCAACAGAUUUGCUUUCAACUGACAGAACAUCAGUCAUCUCCUUUAUAGGCACGAGCAUAAUUUUUGCUGAAGAAUAUAUAUUUCUUAGACCUUUGCAAGCCUGAAUACACCAAAUAACCAGUAAUCAAAAUCUCAAGGAUAAAGAACAAAAAAUUGCAAAAAAUUGCAUGACAAAUUGAACAUAUCCAAACCUCUUUAACAUGAGCUUCCUUUUCAGCUUCAACAUAAAUGUAGUUUUUUAGAUGGUCCAACGCGAUAGCUGACUUUAUCUGGAGAUCUGCCCUAUCUAUGAACUUUUGCAUGAGACAUAUAGCUGUCUCGCGCUCAUGACCAAUCUGAAAUCAUUAUUUUUUUAAAAAAAAAGUUCACACCUCAUAAAGCAAAAGGACACAGAGAUAAUUAGCACUAAGCAGUAUUCAUGUUAAACUGGAAAGGGAUGACACAAUCUAGGCUGUUAAUAAUUAUCUACGUGCAAAUAUAUCUGUGAGAGUAUCAAUUUCCAUAAAUGCCCCUAAAAAAAUGAUGUCGUACAUAUGUCACUGUAACCAUAAUAAAAAAAAAACUUUAAAUAACUUUCUUUAACACAAAACCAACUUCCCUUUAUGAAUUUGGAUCACUUCCCAACCUAAGAUAAGGGCAUUUUUGCAAGAAACUGCAUUUUCCAGGGUAUAUAUAUGAAAGUUUUUCGCAGGUAAUCGGGAAUACAUAUGUUAAAGCCUGAACAUGAAAGGAGUACGCGGAAACAUCAUACCGCACAUUUCACCAUCCACAACUUUGGAUCCUUCACAGAUGGCAAUAAAGCUUGUUGUUCGACUUCUGUCGCGUCAUCGCCAUAUUCCACAUGGCUUGACUUUGCAUAUCUUUCAUAUACUUGUCUCUCUAUCUCAUCGACAUCUUCCUGAUCCUCACCCAUAAGGAUGGACGGACGAUGUAACCGUCUACCCUCCUCCUCAUCAGGUAGAUCAGCUCCGGCAUCAUUGAUGAAAUCUGCAAGUUUUCUUUUACCACUUAAAUCCAUAGUUCUAGAGAUAUGUGGGAUGGAGAGAAAAGAUGCUAUAUGUAGAAGGGAUAGUGCGAAUGUAACCCUAACACUACUUUUCCUAUUAUCUCCUUCAAAUGAUGCGCUCUCACGCGAGAGCCAUGCGUGCAGAUGUACACAGAGGGCAAUUAGCAAUAAAGAGAUUAGAAAUCGACAAGCUAAUGUUUCCUAGACACUUGGCAGGGAGUAAGUACCCAAGAAGGGAGAAUUAUUAGACAUCUGUAGACUACUAAAACUAUAUAAGUAGCGAAAUUUAUAUUCAAACUGAUAAAUGCCUAAAUUUCUUGGGGAAUUAAGAAUCGAAUUUAUAUAUCAUUUAAAUUAGUCUUUGGCCGGUUUAAUUGCAGAAAAUUGAGGAAAAGGAAGAAAUUUUUGCAUUAACCACGUAGAAUAGGAGAAAAAAGUCCCCAGAUUCAAUAGAACUAUUUUGAUUGGAAACAGCAGAAAGAAAUAAAUAGAAAACUAUGGCGUAACUAUCAAUGACUUGUCUCCCCAAUCCAAUGCAGUUCUUCGCUCGAUUUUGCUUCUAUAACCAGUCCCAUUCAAUGUGCAACCAACUAUACAGGAUUAGAACCAAAGCAUGGCAGCAUUUAUCUAGACAAAGUUGGCGAAUCGGCUAUAUCUGAGUUCUUGAACCUGGAAAAAACUAAAAUUUUGAAAUUUGAGUAAUUAGAUGCAAGAUAAUUAUGCUCUCGGCAGAAUCACCAAGAUCGCUAUAAUUGGGAAUUUUGCCCCUCUACUCAAUUUCUCCUUCUAAUCGUUCAAUUUCUUUCUUCUUCUUUUCUGAAGUUGAACAAAAGGACAACAAGAUGAAUCAAGAACCGUUUUAUCAUCUUGUAAAGGAACUAAAAAAACAAAGAUGAUUGCGAAUUACCAUCCUCCCCCUCUUCAUCAUCCUCCUCCCCUUCGUCGCUGUCGACGGCCGCUUCGAGCUCGAAGAACUCCGACCCCGACCGCCGCUUCUUCCCGCGGCCGCCGCCGCCGCCGCCGCCGCCGCGGCCAAAAUCCUCAUCGUCGUCGUCCUCCUCGUCCUCCUCGUCCUCAUCGUCCUCCAACGCAGUAUCAUCAAUAAAAUCGGAUCGCCCCCGCUUCCGCCCUCCGGCGCCCUUCCCCCUCCUCACCACCUCCUCCUCCUCCUCCUCCUCCUCCUCCUCUUCCUCCUCGUACUCCUCGUCGUCGUCGUCGUCGUGGCGUCGGUUCCGAGCCAUGGCUUCUCCGAUCGGGGAUCACCUCCUCCGAAGGCUAGGUUUUGGGGAUCGACAAAGAUGGAGGAACGUGGGGCGAUGCUCUAAUUCACGAACUACAACAAUUGCGCAAAGGAACUAAAUCGUGAACAGCGAUAAAUAUCUUCGCAUGCAAAAUCGAGAAGGGUUUGGAUUCGAGAGAGGCGGGGUGGAGAGAGAGAGAGAGAGAGAGAGGAAGGGGAGCCUAAAUAAGGGGGAGUGGAGAGAUGGGAGAUGAAGCUCUAAUGAUGAUCGGAUCAUUAAUCAUGUCGUAACGGGCCAUUAGAAUGAACGGUCGAGAUUAAAGACAGAUUAAAUGGGUCGGGUUUGAUCGAUCCCGAAAUAUGUAGGGUUUGAUCAAGCCCGGCCCAAAAGAGGAUUUUUCAGAUUAAAAAUAACUUUCACUUGAACUAUAAUUAUUCUAUUUUUUUAUUUAUUUUACUGAAUUUUUUUUUUACACCAAUAAGGAAAAGAAUAAAAAAUAGUAGUUUUUUUAUUAUUCUUUCCUUGCAGAGGAUGAAGUCAAUUAGGGCGUUUUGAAAAAAAGUAUAGCACAUGAACAAAUUUAAUUUACGAUAAACUAAACAACGAAAGUAAAUAUUCACAGCUAAAAACAACUUUUAUAUUUUUUGAUUUUCGGUGAAACGAAUAUGGCCAAAGUGUUGCAACCGGCCCUGACUUUAAAUCAAGGAAGUAGCACUCGUGUGAGUUUCUGCAGCCACUUCAACUAGGAAACGAGAAAAGGUAAUUCGUGAUAAGAAAUAGGCUUAUAUAUGAAUCCUAUUUAAUCUUCCCUGUUGGCUUAUUUAUUCCUGUAAACUUAAAUCAAAAGCGUGGAAUGUUUGUUGAAACUUUUCAUAAUUCGAAUAGCCAGUGGAAAUUGCAGCAAUUCAAUUACCGACGCUUUGAAUUUUGUGGAGGGCUCUCCUCGUUGGCUUCUCUUUUACUUUUUCAGUGAAGCUUUCUGAUAAUGCUUAUAUAAAAUCACGAUAAACUAUCAAGUAACUUGAAAUAUUAUCAUUUUGACAUGACGCAAUCGAUAUUUUUAUAGUGACUCCUGCAAAAGCUUCUAAGAAGAAUUUUUUUUCUCAUAUUAUAUAUAUAUAUUUAUAUAUAUAUAUAUAUAUAUAUAUAUAUAUAUAUAUAUAUAUAUUAUAUAUAUAUAUUAUAUACAUAUAUAUUAAAAGCACGUAUAUUCAAAUUUGGGUCUGUCGCAGAACCCUUUUUCGGCAAAAAAAUUGGGCCCAUUUUUUUCUUUCCGUACGAAAAUUUUAAAUAUAAGUAUAAAAUAGAAAUAAAAACAGCAAUGAAUAUAUAAGUUCUCUAUAAUGAAAUCCUAAAUAAAUUUUUUUAUUUAAUUUCAAAAGUAAUUUUCUAUAACAGAUUACGGGUGUGAAAAUCCUAUAAAAAAUAUUUUUCUAUUUUAUUUAAAUAUCUUUUUCAGAUACUAUCUAUUUAAUUUCAAAAUAUAUUUUCUUUUUAGAUAACGGAUUUAUUUUUCUAUUUAAUUUCAAAAAUUUAUUUCCUAACAGAUUUUAUUUUUCUAUUUUAUUUCAAAAGUAAGUUUCUAUAACAGAUUACGGGUGUGAAAAUCUAUAAAGUUUUUCCAUUUUAUUUUAAAAUAUUUUUUUUAGAUAUUAUCUAUUUUAAUUUCAAAAUAUAUUUUCCUUUGAGAUAACGGAUUUUAUUUUCCAUUUAAUUUCAAAAAUUUUUUUUAACCGAUUUUUAUUUUUCUAUUUAAUUUCAAAAGUAAGUUUCUAUAACAGAUUACGGGUGUGAAAAUCCUAUAAAAGAUUUUUUCCUAUUUUCUUUCUUAAUAGCGUGAUUUAUUAUUUUAAAUUUUUUAGAUACAUAUUUGGCAAUCAUAUAAAAUAUGGCCUAAAAUUAAAAAAUAUUUUUAAAAAAUUAUAACUUUUUAUAAUAAUUAUUACAUACAUUUGCACGUACAUUUUACUAGUCUAUACUAUACUAUACUAUAUAUAAAAACACGUAUAUUCAAAUUUGGGUCUGUCGACAGACCCAUUUUUUGGCGGAAAAAUUACCGCCAAUUUUUCUCUUUCCGUACGAAAAAGUUUAAAUAUAAGAAUAAAAAUAAAAAUAAAAACAGUAAUAAAUACGUAAGUUCUCUAUAACAUAUUAGAGAUGUGAAAAUCCUAAAAUAUAAAUUUUUCUAUUUAAUUUCCAAAGUAAGUUUUCUAUAACAGAUUACGAGUGUGAAAAUCUUAUAAAAGGAGUAUUUUCCUAUUUAUUUUAAAAUAUCUUUUUAGAUAUUAUCUAUUUAAUUUCAAAAGUAAUUUUUGCAUUAGAGAUUAUUGUUAAUUAUUUCAUUUAAAGCAUAUCUUUCUUAAUAGCGCUGAUUAUUAUUUUAAAUUUUUUAGAUACAUAUUUGGCAAUCAUAUAAAAUAUGACCUAAAAUUAAAAAUAAUUUAAAAAUUAUAACUUUUUCUAAUAAUAUUAUACGUGUAUUUGCAUGUGCGAUUUUACUCAGUCAGUGAAGUUAGUAUAGGCUACGCUAAGGUAGUAUAUAGUAGUAUAGGUUACUAGGGUAUAUAUUUACGUGUAGAGCUACUAUGCUAUCGGAAGCAUAAAGUAGUUGGUGCUUUUGAUUUUUUAGCCAUUGGAUCAAACAUUCUACGAUUGCGAUGAUAGCGGUCCCCUUAGGGUUGAGUAGUCCCCCUAAGGUUUAGUGGUCCCCAUUGAUUAAUAAUAUUAAUCCAAUAAUUAUAAAUGAUCAAUAGGGUUGAUCUAAGGGCUAAAAAAUCGGAAGCACCAAUCACUUUAUACUUUUGAUAGCAUGGUAGCACUACUCUAUAUUUACUAUUAUGGAAUGUCAUCUAAAAAGAAAAUCCUAAGAUAUUUGAAUUGCUUUUGAAACAAAAUAGUGUUGUAUUGAAAUUGAAAUAAAUAUUUUGUUUUUGCAGAUUCAGAAACUAGUGUGUGUGUGCGCGCGCGCGCGAGAGCAGGAUCAAUCCUUUUGGUAAAUGAUAGAUAAGUAGUGAAAGGCGAUAAAAGUAAUUGAAAGAAGAAAUCAAUGAGAUGAAGAGCGCAACAACUCUCUGUCCAUUGUAUAUUUUUCAUUCAUCCUAAUUUAAUAUAUAUUUAUAUGAUUUAUAUGAUUCUUCUUAAACACAAAGUUGCAACUUUUCCAAACAUAGAAUAGAAUAACAUACAAUUACCCUACAUGGUACUAUUAUUAUGUCGCACAAAUUAUACCAAGCCUAUCUUCUUCAUAUAGAAGGAUAAUAGUAGUCAAUAUUUUCAAAUGGAAAGACAAUAUUUAAGACAAUAUCAAUUGCACUAAAAGAUGGAAAGUGCAAUCCUAAACAAUGGAGAAUAAAUCUUCUAAUAUUUUAUCAAUAUUUCUCCCACAUCCCCAUUAAACUCAAGGUGACAUCCUAGAUGCCAAUUUGAGUUUAAACAAAAAAUCUCUAAAUCGUAUAGCAAAAUGAGAUUUGGUGAAAAUAUGAGGAGAUUGAAUUAAGGUGGAGUGUACUCUACUAGGAGUUUCAUUAAAAAUAAUAAUCUAUUUCAAUAUGUUUAGCCCUUUUCAUUAAAAAUAAUAUUGUGUGCGAUUUGAAUAACACUUUGAUUACGACAAUAUAAUGGAGUACUUCAAUGUUGAAAGACAUUCAUGUCAAUAAUUUGCUGUUGACUACCGACCGUCCCUAAAGCAAGUGGUAAAGGGCUUGGUGGUUGGUAUCCGAGACCCAAGUUCGAAUCCUAAUUGAUUCACAUUUCUAGCUAAGUUUAUUUCUAAUGAAAUAAAUGAAGCGAGUAGCGUGAUACCUAUCUCUAAAAAAAAAAUUAAAAAUAAAAAAAAAAAACAAUUUGCUGUUGACUACACCAAAAGAUGAGAGAGUCACCUAAUAAGGAAGAAAGCUAGCGGUGGAUUUCCUACCUAUUAGAUCCCCUGUCUAAUCAGCAUCAGAGUAUGCACGAUUCUCUAGAGAAAAAAAAAAAAAAAAAAACUUGAGCCUAUGAAAAAGAGUUUUUUUAAUAUAUCUUAGAGUGCGAAGAUUAGUAGUGUAAAUUACGCAUAUGAAAUAUUCAAUCGAGUGAUUGUGAGGUAGAUAAUACUAUCCAUUAGCGGGAUGAAAUUUAUUUAAUAGUGUAUCAGCAAUUUUCCUAUCUGAGAAUCCAGCCAGAGACAAAUCUUAAUGUUACCUCAAUGCCCAGAAAUUAACUAUGUGCCCAAUCUUUCGUUUCAAAUUGUUGACUAAUAAGAGAAUAUUUGAGAUCCUAAAUACUCUAUAUAUCAUCACCAGCAGUAGGAAGUCCAUUCCUAAUCAAUUGCGAAUAAAUCUUCUUAUAUUUAGUCAAUAUUUUUUCGAGAAAGCAAAAACAAGGUAACUUUAAUUUAAUCUUGACCCCAUCAACUUCGGGUUGAACAUAUGGUUAACUUAAAGCCAUUUUUAAUUAAUUUUUAGCAACUUAACUCAGUAAAAACAUACAACUGUAAUGCAACAAAGCACGUUGAACCAUUUAUCUAUUUCUAUAUCUAUACCUAUACAUUAUUUCUCCUAAAGUUGCCACAUGGCAACUUUUCAUUCAUGGUUGAGUAUGAGCUCCACUCCAAGCCUGCUUAAGUCUUUCCUUUUCUUCUUCCUUCGGUUGUUAUCUUCGUUCAUCGGCAAGAAGAAUCUCAUUCCUCAUCAUCGCUUCUUUUAUCGCUGUUUUCUCUUUUUUUGUCGUUGUUGUUUAAUUUUUUCCCAAUUAUCUACCCGUUGCAUUCGCUUUUAUCUAUAAAGCUUUUUGAAUUAGAGAAGAAGUCAUUCACCAUAGUAACAAAUUCUUGUGUUUUUUCAUAUAACUGUUACAUUUUGACUCCAAGUCUCUAAGCACCCAUUUGGUUCGGGGUUAAGGAAUGGAAUAACCCCUUAACUCCGAAGUUAUUCCCAAACAUCCAAUUUGGGAGGUGGGGUUAGCUAACCCCACUCCAAAUGGAUUAUUCUGGGAUAGCCCAUUUGGGGUGGGAUUAGCUAAUCCUACCCCACCCCACUACUCCAACCAAACAAAGUACUAUUUUACUCACUAUUCUUCUUAUCUCAUCUAUUUCAACCAAACACUAUUUUAUCUAUACCUAAACUAAACCUAAUUCUCAACCAAACACAAAAUUAUUCUGACCUCACAUUAACCCUGAACUUAAUUCUAUUCCUGAAAUAACAAGUUUUUAUUUAACCCCGAACCAAACGGUGACUAACUUUAUGACUUAUAGCGACACUAGCAAUGGGUCGAACUCCCGACCUCUUAUU